UGUUCCUAGCCAGUGCGCUUACGAUAGGCAUUCACCCCCCCCCCCCUGAAAAUAUUUAAAAUGGUGGACGUCCAGGGGGUGCAUACCUCUUUUGUAGAAGGAAAUUUCAAGCGAAAAUUUACAUGCUUUUAGACCCAACCGGAAGCCCCAACACGAUUUUAGACCCAACCGGAAGCCCCUGCGAAAAAUGAAACCAUAAAGACCCCCCUCGGCAGGAAUCGAACUUGUUACCCCGCGAUUCCGGGGUAGCGCUCUGACCACACUGAGUUAUACGCCUGUAUUCUAAAAGCUCACUCACACUCAAAGAGUGGAGGUUCAAUCUGAACUUCCCUUGAGUGUCAGUGCUGUUUUUGAAUAGCUGGUGGGUUAGGCCAAAAAAAAAUAUGUGGGUUUCCGGUUUCUUCUUAUAAAAACUUAGGUAGGGUAGGUCGGUUUUAACUUUUUUUUUAAACUUUUUUUU
This is a non-coding RNA of Paramuricea clavata, 460 nucleotides long. NCBI's taxonomy places the organism in Eukaryota, Metazoa, Cnidaria, Anthozoa, Malacalcyonacea, Plexauridae. The record is from the annotation of a GenBank genome assembly.